UUCUUAGAAACUAAAUUAUAGUAUUGGUCUCUUAAACCAAUUGAAGAAUAAUAAUUCCUAAGGAU
RNAcentral lists this transfer RNA (65 nucleotides) under Ascoschoengastia sp. TATW-1. RNAcentral describes it as "tRNA-Lys". The record is from RNAcentral. Lineage: Eukaryota; Metazoa; Arthropoda; Arachnida; Trombidiformes; Trombiculidae.